GAUGAACGCUGGCGGCGUGCCUAACACAUGCAAGUCGAACGGAGUUUAUAUUAUGAAGUUUUCGGAUGGAAUUUUAUAAACUUAGUGGCGGACGGGUGAGUAACGCGUGGGUAACCUGCCUCAUACAGGGGAAUAACAACUCGGAAACGGUUGCUCAAACCGCAUAAGCACACACUAUCGCAUGAUAGAGAGUGCAAAUAUUUAUAGGUAUGAGAUGGGCCCGCGUAUGAUUAGCUAGUUGGUGAGGUAAUAGCUCACCAAGGCGACGAUCAGUAGCCGGCUUGAGAGAGUGAUCGGCCACAUUGGGACUGAGACACGGCCCAAACUCCUACGGGAGGCAGCAGUGGGGAAUAUUGCACAAUGGGGGAAACCCUGAUGCAGCGACGCCGCGUGAGUGAAGAAGUAUUUCGGUAUGUAAAGCUCUAUCAGCAGGGAAGAAAAUGACGGUACCUGACUAAGAAGCCCC
RNAcentral lists this ribosomal RNA (466 nucleotides) under uncultured bacterium. Its description in RNAcentral is "SSU rRNA". It matches the Rfam family "Bacterial small subunit ribosomal RNA", at positions 28 to 494 of the family's 1533-position model. The record is from RNAcentral.